CCGUUAUAACCGGCGAUACCCGAAUGGGGAAACCCAGUGUGACUCGUCACACUAUCAUUAACUGAAUCCAUAGGUUAAUGAGGCGAACCGGGGGAACUGAAACAUCUAAGUACCCCGAGGAAAAGAAAUCAACCGAGAUUCCCCCAGUAGCGGCGAGCGAACGGGGAGGAGCCCAGAGCCUGAAUCAGCAUGUGUGUUAGUGGAAGCGUCUGGAAAGGCGCGCGAUACAGGGUGACAGCCCCGUACACAAAAGCGCAUGUGCUGUGAGCUCGAUGAGUAGGGCGGGACACGUGGUAUCCUGUCUGAAUAUGGGGGGACCAUCCUCCAAGGCUAAAUACUCCUGACUGACCGAUAGUGAACCAGUACCGUGAGGGAAAGGCGAAAAGAACCCCGGCGAGGGGAGUGAAAAAGAACCUGAAACCGUGUACGUACAAGCAGUGGGAGCACCCUUUGGGUGUGACUGCGUACCUUUUGUAUAAUGGGUCAGCGACUUAUAUUCUGUAGCAAGGUUAACCGAAUAGGGGAGCCGGAGGGAAACCGAGUCUUAACCGGGCGUUAAGUUGCAGGGUAUAGACCCGAAACCCGGUGAUCUAGCCAUGGGCAGGUUGAAGGUUGGGUAACACUAACUGGAGGACCGAACCGACUAAUGUUGAAAAAUUAGCGGAUGACCUGUGGCUGGGGGUGAAAGGCCAAUCAAACCGGGAGAUAGCUGGUUCUCCCCGAAAGCUAUUUAGGUAGCGCCUCGUGAAUUCAUCUCCGGGGGUAGAGCACUGUUUCGGCUAGGGGGCCAUCCCGGCU
RNAcentral lists this ribosomal RNA (798 nucleotides) under Salmonella enterica subsp. enterica serovar Enteritidis. RNAcentral describes it as "partial 23S ribosomal RNA". It matches the Rfam family "Bacterial large subunit ribosomal RNA", at positions 95 to 936 of the family's 2925-position model. Lineage: Bacteria; Pseudomonadati; Pseudomonadota; Gammaproteobacteria; Enterobacterales; Enterobacteriaceae. The record is from RNAcentral.